Molecule: ribosomal RNA, 433 nt
Filed under: uncultured bacterium
Lineage: Bacteria
Description: partial 16S ribosomal RNA
Rfam family: Bacterial small subunit ribosomal RNA
Source: RNAcentral
AGCGAACGCUGGCGGCAGGCCUAACACAUGCAAGUCGAACGAACCUUUCGGGGUUAGUGGCGGACGGGUGAGUAACACGUGGGAACGUGCCUUUAGGUUCGGAAUAACUCAGGGAAACUUGUGCUAAUACCGAAUGUGCCCUUCGGGGGAAAGAUUAAUCGCCUUUAGAGCGGCCCGCGUCUGAUUAGCUAGUUGGUUGAGGUAAUGGCUCACCAAGGCGACGAUCAGUAGCUGGUCUGAGAGGAUGAUCAGCCACAUUGGGACUGAGACACGGCCCAAACUCCUACGGGAGGCAGCAGUGGGGAAUCUUGCGCAAUGGGCGAAAGCCUGACGCAGCCAUGCCGCGUGAAUGAUGAAGGUCUUAGGAUUGUAAAAUUCUUUCACCGGGGACGAUAAUGACGGUACCCGGAGAAGAAGCCCCGGCUAACUUCGG